Hipposideros armiger (great roundleaf bat) is the source of this 606-nucleotide long non-coding RNA. RefSeq lists it as uncharacterized. The record is from RefSeq and is a predicted model, not a curated record. The transcript has 4 exons. NCBI's taxonomy places the organism in Eukaryota, Metazoa, Chordata, Mammalia, Chiroptera, Hipposideridae.
GAAGUGCCUGGAGUACUACUCAGAAGAAAAAAACAGAAAGAAAAAAGAAGGUGCCAAAGACAAUGUCUUCUUUUGGAACUUAUUCUCCGUGGCCCUAAUGAUGGUUAACUGCAGAAAGCCAGAAAAAUGUUACUGCCCUGUGUGAUGGCCACAGUGACGGUGGCAACAGGCAAGGAGAGCAUAGUUGAUUGGGAGUGGUGGCGCUGUGUUUUAUAAACUGGCCUUUCAAAUAGGUUCUCUGCCUGGAUUCAUCUGAGUGGGAAUGAAGAGUGUCUCGGAGACAGUCUGUACACGAGGCGCAGUGUUGCCCCCAAACAAGGUGGAAGAGUCACUGGGAAACCAAAGCGUCCAUGAGGAGUUAGUAGAGGCCAGCAGAGGGCAUGGGGCUGUGGCAGACCAGGAGUGAGUGAUACACCGUGAGUGACUGACACUAGCUUGAUUGUGCAGGGGACACCACAUGAGGCAGCAGAUGUGCUGCUAGGUUUCUGAGUUUUAUCUUACAAAGGCAGUUCCAAGCUUUAUUCUCCCAAUCUUCUUUAUAAAAAUAAUGACCUUCCAAUGAAUGCCAUCUGAUUUCUAGCAACAUAUCUUUUAAUGGUAUGUCAU